GUGGGGAAUAUUGCACAAUGGGCGCAAGCCUGAUGCAGCAACGCCGCGUGAGGGACGACGGCCUUCGGGUUGUAAACCUCUUUUAGCAGGGAAGAAGCGAAAGUGACGGUACCUGCAGAAAAAGCACCGGCUAACUACGUGCCAGCAACCGCGGUAAUACGUAGGGUGCAAGCGUUGUCCGGAAUUAUUGGGCGUAAAGAGCUCGUAGGCGGUUUGUCGCGUCUGCUGUGAAAACCCGAGGCUCAACCGCGGGCCUGCAGUGGGUACGGGCAGACUAGAGUGCGGUAGGGGAGAUUGGAAUUCCUGGUGUAGCGGUGGAAUGCGCAGAUAUCAGGAGGAACACCGAUGGCGAAGGCAGAUCUCUGGGCCGUAACUGACGCUGAGGAGCGAAAGCGUGGGGAGCGAACAGGAUUAGAUACCCGUGUAGUCC
Molecule: ribosomal RNA, 430 nt
Filed under: uncultured bacterium
Lineage: Bacteria
Description: bacterial SSU rRNA
Rfam family: Bacterial small subunit ribosomal RNA
Source: RNAcentral